This 253-nucleotide ribosomal RNA is filed under the name uncultured bacterium. RNAcentral describes it as "partial 16S ribosomal RNA". It matches the Rfam family "Bacterial small subunit ribosomal RNA", at positions 524 to 776 of the family's 1533-position model. The record is from RNAcentral.
UACGGGGGGGGCAAGCGUUGUUCGGAAUUACUGGGCGUAAAGGGCUCGUAGGCGGCCAACUAAGUCGGACGUGAAAUCCCUCGGCUUAACCGGGGAACUGCGUCCGAUACUGGAUGGCUUGAGUUUGGGAGAGGGAUGCGGAAUUCCAGGUGUAGCGGUGAAAUGCGUAGAUAUCUGGAGGAACACCGGUGGCGAAGGCGGCAUCCUGGACCAAUACUGACACUCAAGUGCGAAAGCGUGGGGAGCAAACAGG